CAAGUCUGGUGCCAGCAGCCGCGGUAAUUCUAG
RNAcentral lists this ribosomal RNA (33 nucleotides) under Brassica napus (rape). Its description in RNAcentral is "rRNA SSU_rRNA_eukarya". The record is from RNAcentral. Lineage: Eukaryota; Viridiplantae; Streptophyta; Magnoliopsida; Brassicales; Brassicaceae.